AAAGGAUGGCAGGUUGCGUAAUUUCCUGACGUUUGAUCCUUUCCGUCUCCUUCCGGUGUUGUGACCCUGAAGCGCUAUAGCGAGAGAGAUAACCCCCUGAUGCAAGAGUGUGAGCGCGUGGGCUGUAUGUAAUAUUAUGCAAGUUGCGGAUGCCGUGUUUCGCCUAUAGCAACGAGCCGUAUCACGCAGGGUUUCUAUUCCACUCUAUUAUGCAGCGUUUCUAGUCCACUUUUGGAUUACGGCAGAGAUCUUCCUCUGUGGAGUUCUAUGCAUAUGGACCUCUGAUGUAUAGGCCCUGCUGUUUUGCUUAUGAUUU
Long non-coding RNA from Sinocyclocheilus rhinocerous, 316 nucleotides. RefSeq lists it as uncharacterized. The record is from RefSeq and is a predicted model, not a curated record. NCBI's taxonomy places the organism in Eukaryota, Metazoa, Chordata, Actinopteri, Cypriniformes, Cyprinidae. The transcript is spliced from 3 exons.